UCUAUUGAAUGAAUGAGUGAAUGCAUGCAACAAGAUUGAUGCACAUCAAAGAAUAAGUAUUUCACAGCUUGGACUCUUUUUUUCUAGACAGUUCUCCUCCAUCAAUCUUAACCAUUUCCCUUUCUGGUCACACCACCCAACUAUAAGAGACAGCAUGGCAGGGGACAGGGAGGACAUCACCAAUAGCUGAGAACAUCUGAACUAUCGGCAUAAGAACUUCUGAUGACUUUGCAAACCCGGCAACAAUUGAGCACAAAAGCCUCCGGAGUCAUGCUGGCACGUUGUGACUGAACCACACAAUGACGUGAGGUUCGCUCCGUUCUGGAAAUGCCCAAACAGCUAACGGCAGAGGUAAAUGCAAUCCAACAUCAGCACCCACACAGCCUGGGACAGACCUGAGACUCAGAGCCCUCAGUCUCGGGGGCAAGUUUCCCACGGUGGCAGAGGGUAAAGGUGGCAGAUUAAAAAAAAAAAAAAA
Mustela erminea (ermine) is the source of this 478-nucleotide long non-coding RNA. RefSeq lists it as uncharacterized. The transcript is spliced from 2 exons. NCBI's taxonomy places the organism in Eukaryota, Metazoa, Chordata, Mammalia, Carnivora, Mustelidae. The record is from RefSeq and is a predicted model, not a curated record.